GCUGGCGGCGUGCCUAAUACAUGCAAGUCGAGCGAACAGAUAAGGAGCUUGCUCCUUUGAAGUUAGCGGCGGACGGGUGAGUAACACGUGGGUAACCUACCUAUAAGACUGGAAUAACUUCGGGAAACCGGAGCUAAUGCCGGAUAACAUAUAGAACCGCAUGGUUCUAUAGUGAAAGAUGGUUUUGCUAUCACUUAUAGAUGGACCCGCGCCGUAUUAGCUAGUUGGUAAGGUAAUGGCUUACCAAGGCGACGAUACGUAGCCGACCUGAGAGGGUGAUCGGCCACACUGGAACUGAGACACGGUCCAGACUCCUACGGGAGGCAGCAGUAGGGAAUCUUCCGCAAUGGGCGAAAGCCUGACGGAGCAACGCCGCGUGAGUGAUGAAGGUUUUCGGAUCGUAAAACUCUGUUAUUAGGGAAGAACAAAUGCGUAAGUAACUGUGCGCAUCUUGACGGUACCUAAUCAGAAAGCCACGGCUAACUACGUGCCAGCAGCCGCGGUAAUACGUAGGUGGCAAGCGUUAUCCGGAAUUAUUGGGCGUAAAGCGCGCGUAGGCGGUUUCUUAAGUCUGAUGUGAAAGCCCACGGCUCAACCGUGGAGGGUCAUUGGAAACUGGGAAACUUGAGUGCAGAAGAGGAAAGUGGAAUUCCAUGUGUAGCGGUGAAAUGCGCAGAGAUAUGGAGGAACACCAGUGGCGAAGGCGACUUUCUGGUCUGUAACUGACGCUGAUGUGCGAAAGCGUGGGGAUCAAACAGGAUUAGAUACCCUGGUAGUCCACGCCGUAAACGAU
This 793-nucleotide ribosomal RNA is filed under the name Bacillota bacterium. RNAcentral describes it as "bacterial SSU rRNA". It matches the Rfam family "Bacterial small subunit ribosomal RNA", at positions 35 to 810 of the family's 1533-position model. Lineage: Bacteria; Bacillati; Bacillota. The record is from RNAcentral.